Long non-coding RNA from Drosophila ficusphila, 310 nucleotides. RefSeq lists it as uncharacterized. The record is from RefSeq and is a predicted model, not a curated record. The transcript is spliced from 2 exons. Lineage: Eukaryota; Metazoa; Arthropoda; Insecta; Diptera; Drosophilidae.
GAAAACGUCAUCUGAAAGAAAUCAAGUCGAUCUGAUCAAAAACAACGGGCUCUGGACUUUCAUCAUUCAAAAUUGGUAAUCAUGAAGUCAAUGUGGUUGGUUGUUGUCGCUGUUCUGGCUGUGGCUAACUUGGGAGACGCACUGAAGUCACCACCAAAAGAUGCCCCCAAAAUCGCUCCAAAGGGCCCCCCGGGUCUGUGAGCUUCUUCACUGACCAUUACCUUGGCGGUGCCCAAGUAAAAUGAAGUGCACAAAAGUUAGUUAAUUAAUUGCAUUUAUUAAUUAAACUGGCACCAAGGCAUUAAAUGUA